RNAcentral lists this ribosomal RNA (253 nucleotides) under uncultured bacterium. RNAcentral describes it as "partial 16S ribosomal RNA". It matches the Rfam family "Bacterial small subunit ribosomal RNA", at positions 524 to 776 of the family's 1533-position model. The record is from RNAcentral.
UACGUAGGGUGCAGGCGUUAAUCGGAAUUACUGGGCGUAAAGCGUGCGCAGGCGGUUUGCUAAGAGAGAUGUGAAAUCCCCGGGCUUAACCUGGGAACUGCGUUUCUAACUGGCAGGCUUGAGUGCGGCAGAGGGGGGUGGAAUUCCGCGUGUAGCAGUGAAAUGCGUAGAGAUGCGGAGGAACACCGAUGGCGAAGGCAGCCCCCUGGGUCGACACUGACGCUCAGGCACGAAAGCGUGGGGAGCAAACAGG